Molecule: non-coding RNA, 162 nt
Filed under: Larimichthys crocea (large yellow croaker)
Lineage: Eukaryota; Metazoa; Chordata; Actinopteri; Sciaenidae
Description: Eukaryotic large subunit ribosomal RNA
Rfam family: Eukaryotic large subunit ribosomal RNA
Source: Rfam by way of RNAcentral
CUUUUUGGGUUUUAAAGUUCCCACAGGGAUAACUGGCUUGUGGCAGCCAAGCAUUCAUAGUCGCUUUGUGAUCCGUCCAUGUCAGCUUUUCCUAACAUUGUGUAGCAGAGAUUGGUCACUCACUAACAGGGAACGUGAGCUGGGUUUAGACUGAAAAUGUGA